Molecule: unclassified non-coding RNA, 238 nt
Filed under: Hevea brasiliensis (rubber tree)
Lineage: Eukaryota; Viridiplantae; Streptophyta; Magnoliopsida; Malpighiales; Euphorbiaceae
Source: RNAcentral
AUAAUAAAUUCCCUUCUCAAUGAAGAGAGGGCUAUCCAGUAAAAAAGGAAAAUAAAGUAAAAAAAAAAGUUAAUUUUUUUAAACUAAUGAAAAGUUAAAAAAAAAAGGAGAAAAUUAAAAAAAAAAUAGAAAUUGAUUUUGAAGCAGCAGGAAUCUGAGAUUGAUUGUUUACGAGAGAGAGAGGGAGAGGAAGGAGAGAGAAAUUCAGGGGGAUCAAGGAGAGAGGAAUAGAGAGAAU